This 230-nucleotide ribosomal RNA is filed under the name uncultured bacterium. RNAcentral describes it as "partial 16S ribosomal RNA". It matches the Rfam family "Bacterial small subunit ribosomal RNA", at positions 561 to 790 of the family's 1533-position model. The record is from RNAcentral.
UAAAGCGUGCGCAGGCGGUUAUGUAAGACAGUUGUGAAAUCCCCGGGCUCAACCUGGGAACCGCAUCUGUGACUGCAUAGCUAGAGUACGGUAGAGGGGGAUGGAAUUCCGCGUGUAGCAGUGAAAUGCGUAGAUAUGCGGAGGAACACCGAUGGCGAAGGCAAUCCCCUGGACCUGUACUGACGCUCAUGCACGAAAGCGUGGGGAGCAAACAGGAUUAGAUACCCAGU